CAUAUUUUUUUCCUCCAUUCGAGAUUUUGAAUCAAUCUUUAGUGUCAUGGACACAAAGUUUGAAGUUACAAUUGGACAUACCACUCACAUCGACCGAUGCCUAGGAAUUUUCUAGUGAGCUACCUAUCAAAAGAUCUAUUAUUUAACCAAUCAGCAAUGUAUCCGAUUGGACCUCAUCUAAAACUAAACGAAAAGUAAAUGAAUCGACCAAUCACAGUUGGAAAUUAAUGGAGAAGAGUGGGGAUUUCUCACGCAACAAGAAUAAUACGAUUUCCGUUUCGUUUUCAUUCAUUUCCUUUUCUUCUACGAUGUGGUUGAUAUGUAUCGUGCCGAUCCAUGUCUCGCACGACAAAUUGCGGGAACACGAGAUGAUUAUUACAUCUAUACUACAAUUUUUAAGGGAAAUUUGCAUGAUUUGAUUUGGAAUAAAAUUUAUUCUUUAAGAUGACUAACAUAUAUCACUCCAUAUUCUCAAAAAUGAAGGAUAUUGACAAAAAUCUAAGAAUUAGAUUAGACCUAUGCAAGCAUUUUUGAAGGAAAUUUGCAUAGAAUAUAAAAGAAUCUAGAAUUUAAGUUGGAAAGGAAUAAAAUAUAUUAUUUCUUAAAAUAUCCAACAUAUAUCACUCCAAAAGUUUUCAAAAAUGAAAGAUAUUGACAAAGAUCUAAGAAUUUUUAGGAAAAAUAGAUAAUACAUAGAAAGGAACAAUUGACUGUUGAUUGUUAAUAUAUUUUGCAUUGUACCAAAAUUUGCACUGGAGCAGUUUUGGUUACAAAGAUAUUAAUCAACAUGAAAAUAUCUCUUCUACUGAAAAAAGGAAAAAUAGAUAAUACAUAGCAAGAAACAAUUGAUUUUGUUGAUUGUUAAUAUACUUUGUAUUAUAUUUAAAUUCGCAAAAUAUAAAACUGGAGCAAUCUUGAUUACAAAGAAAUUAAUAUGAGAAGUAUCUCCUGCUGAAAAGUGAAAGAAAAAGUGAGAUCAUGAAAUCAAAUUGAUUGAUCGUUUAUUGGAUAUGUUCAAUGAGUAAAAAUAGCUGAAGUACGAUGAUUACAUUAAUUCAGCUAUGAAGAUCUGCUAAAUUUAUCUACAUGAACGGCUAUCUUCAUGAGCAAACUUAUUCCGACUAAUACCAUCUUCAAUAGCAAUGCAGUAAUUGUUCGAGGACGAUUAUGUACUUUGUUGCUAGAGGGUUGCUCGAAAGAGAUGUUUUGAAAGUUCUCUCUGGAUGGAGAGUGCCAGGUGUAUUCCUAGCUAUAUGUCUUCAAUAUCGCCCUCAGGUUAUAUGACACAGGUCCUUUGUCUCCUCUUCCUUUUGCUUUUCCCUAUAUAAUUUUAUUGAUAUUUUUGAAAAAUUGAUAAAUACUAAUAAUCCAGUCCUGCCUCUUCAACAUUAAUAAUCAUAUUCUUCACUCACUCCCAGUUGUCUCAAACAGUUAUUUAUUUUUUUUCCUCUUCAUCAUACUUAUUAUACUGCCUUAUCACAUGAUUCAUGCUCUCAUAUUUAUAUCCAGAGAUGUGCUUUGUUGCCAGAGGGUUGCUAGAGUUAUCCUUUUCCAACUGGUUAUGAUCAUACAAUUAAAUGUUUAAUAUUUCAAAAAGAUAUUGAAAAUAU
Molecule: long non-coding RNA, 1610 nt
Organism: Pogonomyrmex barbatus (red harvester ant)
Lineage: Eukaryota; Metazoa; Arthropoda; Insecta; Hymenoptera; Formicidae
Source: RefSeq, a predicted model, not a curated record